UACGUAGGGGGCAAGCGUUGUCCGGAUUUAUUGGGCGUAAAGAGCUCGUAGGCGGCUCGGUAAGUCGGAUGUGAAACCUCCAGGCUCAACCUGGAGACGCCAUCUGAUACUGCCGUGGCUUGAGUCCGGUAGAGGAGCAGGGAAUUCCUGGUGUAGCGGUGAAAUGCGCAGAUAUCAGGAGGAACACCGAUGGCGAAGGCAGGUCUCUGGGACGGUACUGACGCUGAGGCGCGAAAGCGUGGGGAGCAAACAGG
Molecule: ribosomal RNA, 254 nt
Filed under: uncultured bacterium
Lineage: Bacteria
Description: partial 16S ribosomal RNA
Rfam family: Bacterial small subunit ribosomal RNA
Source: RNAcentral